RNAcentral lists this ribosomal RNA (504 nucleotides) under uncultured Bordetella sp. RNAcentral's name for it is "bacterial SSU rRNA". It matches the Rfam family "Bacterial small subunit ribosomal RNA", at positions 521 to 1025 of the family's 1533-position model. Lineage: Bacteria; Pseudomonadati; Pseudomonadota; Betaproteobacteria; Burkholderiales; Alcaligenaceae. The record is from RNAcentral.
UAAUACGUAGGGUGCAAGCGUUAAUCGGAAUUACUGGGCGUAAAGCGUGCGCAGGCGUUUCGGAAAGAAAGAUGUGAAAUCCCAGAGCUUAACUUUGGAACUGCAUUUUUAACUACCGGGCUAGAGUGUGUCAGAGGGAGGUGGAAUUCCGCGUGUAGCAGUGAAAUGCGUAGAUAUGCGGAGGAACACCGAUGGCGAAGGCAGCCUCCUGGGAUAACACUGACGCUCAUGCACGAAAGCGUGGGGAGCAAACAGGAUUAGAUACCCUGGUAGUCCACGCCCUAAACGAUGUCAACUAGCUGUUGGGGCCUUCGGGCCUUGGUAGCGCAGCUAACGCGUGAAGUUGACCGCCUGGGGAGUACGGUCGCAAGAUUAAAACUCAAAGGAAUUGACGGGGACCCGCACAAGCGGUGGAUGAUGUGGAUUAAUUCGAUGCAACGCGAAAAACCUUACCUACCCUUGACAUGUCUGGAAUGCCGAAGAGAUUUGGCAGUGCUCGCAAGA